RNAcentral lists this ribosomal RNA (1100 nucleotides) under Bacillus sp. (in: firmicutes). RNAcentral describes it as "bacterial SSU rRNA". It matches the Rfam family "Bacterial small subunit ribosomal RNA", at positions 56 to 1140 of the family's 1533-position model. Lineage: Bacteria; Bacillati; Bacillota; Bacilli; Caryophanales; Bacillaceae. The record is from RNAcentral.
UGCAGUCGAGCGGACAGAUGGGAGCUUGCUCCCUGAUGUUAGCGGCGGACGGGUGAGUAACACGUGGGUAACCUGCCUGUAAGACUGGGAUAACUCCGGGAAACCGGGGCUAAUACCGGAUGCUUGUUUGAACCGCAUGGUUCAAACAUAAAAGGUGGCUUCGGCUACCACUUACAGAUGGACCCGCGGCGCAUUAGCUAGUUGGUGAGGUAAUGGCUCACCAAGGCGACGAUGCGUAGCCGACCUGAGAGGGUGAUCGGCCACACUGGGACUGAGACACGGCCCAGACUCCUACGGGAGGCAGCAGUAGGGAAUCUUCCGCAAUGGACGAAAGUCUGACGGAGCAACGCCGCGUGAGUGAUGAAGGUUUUCGGAUCGUAAAGCUCUGUUGUUAGGGAAGAACAAGUACCGUUCGAAUAGGGCGGUACCUUGACGGUACCUAACCAGAAAGCCACGGCUAACUACGUGCCAGCAGCCGCGGUAAUACGUAGGUGGCAAGCGUUGUCCGGAAUUAUUGGGCGUAAAGGGCUCGCAGGCGGUUUCUUAAGUCUGAUGUGAAAGCCCCCGGCUCAACCGGGGAGGGUCAUUGGAAACUGGGGAACUUGAGUGCAGAAGAGGAGAGUGGAAUUCCACGUGUAGCGGUGAAAUGCGUAGAGAUGUGGAGGAACACCAGUGGCGAAGGCGACUCUCUGGUCUGUAACUGACGCUGAGGAGCGAAAGCGUGGGGAGCGAACAGGAUUAGAUACCCUGGUAGUCCACGCCGUAAACGAUGAGUGCUAAGUGUUAGGGGGUUUCCGCCCCUUAGUGCUGCAGCUAACGCAUUAAGCACUCCGCCUGGGGAGUACGGUCGCAAGACUGAAACUCAAAGGAAUUGACGGGGGCCCGCACAAGCGGUGGAGCAUGUGGUUUAAUUCGAAGCAACGCGAAGAACCUUACCAGGUCUUGACAUCCUCUGACAAUCCUAGAGAUAGGACGUCCCCUUCGGGGGCAGAAUGACAGGUGGUGCAUGGUUGUCGUCAGCUCGUGUCCUGAGAUGUUGGGUUAAGUCCCGCAACGAACGCAACCCUUGAUCUUAGUUGCCAGCAUUCAGUUGGGCACUC